GGACUAAAUCUGAAUUUCUGUCAUUAGUAACCAUUAUGAACAUGGUAUGAAUUCUGCUUCUCCUUAAAGAGCUGACUGAGUUUCCUUGACUGUAGAAGAGAGAUGGGGAUACCUACCCGUUUCCAUAGUGAUAUGACGAAUGGGAGGGAAAUAGAAAACCUACAAUCCAGUGACAAAGAGCAGUACAACAGAUAAUGCCUGAAUCCCAGGAAGUAGUUUUGCAGACUUGCUCAGGGCUGGUCUUGUGGUAAGACUCUUAGCAGUUCCCAGUUUGGUGCAGUUAAAAAUACCCUCCCGAUUUCUGCUUUUUGGAGAGGAGUUGUGGCCGUAUAGUCUCCCUGCCAACCCCACCCCCAAAAGGCCACGUCCUAAUCUCUGAAACCUGUGACUACGUUACCUGACAUGGCAAAGCAGACGGAACUGAGGCUGCUAAUCAACUGACUUUAGAAUAGGAAGGUGGUUCUAGAUUACCCUGGGCCCAGCGUCAUCGUGGGGGGCCCUUCGAUCUGGAAGAGGGAGACGGAAGAGGAGGUCAGAGCGCGAGGACACCCCAGCAGCACUGGCAGGAGCCGCGGGGCCAGGGAACACAGGCAGCCCCCAAAAGCUGGGAAAAGCGAGGACACGGGCUCUUCCCUGGAUCCUCCAGAAAGAAAGGCAGCCCUGGCGACACCCAGAUUCAGCCCAAGGACACUUCACACCUACAGAAUUUUUGAUGAAUCCUCGGAUGGUCCAGUGCCCGAAACACAAACUAAAACAGUUCUGGAAGUGGAUUGUGGUGAUGGCUGCACAGCAUUGUGGAGGUACUUCCUACCCCGGAAUCGUACACUUAAAAAUGGUUUAAAAGGUAAACUUUAUGUUAUCGGUGUUUUCACAACAGUUAAAAAAGAAAAAAGAAAGAAAGAAACUCAGUUGCUUGCUUCUAAAACCUACGAUGCAUUCUCGAUUCUCUCCUUUACUCACCCCACAUGACCAAGUCUUGUCAUAGCCACCUCCGGAAGACUUCCGGCACUUCCGGCACGUC
Pteropus alecto (black flying fox) is the source of this 1021-nucleotide long non-coding RNA. RefSeq lists it as uncharacterized. Lineage: Eukaryota; Metazoa; Chordata; Mammalia; Chiroptera; Pteropodidae. The record is from RefSeq and is a predicted model, not a curated record. The transcript is spliced from 3 exons.